GCCCAUGAAUACUCAUUUCAUUCAAUCAUAUUUCAUAUAAUUCUUGUUCAUUGCUGAAGUUAAAUUGGUACAGACCCACAAAUAGUGAAAAUGAAGAGCAGUAUCUUAUGAUCAAAUGAUAAAAGGCUGUUUACAGAAGAAGUAAACAGCCUUUUAUCAUUUGAGAGAAACCAUUAUUAUGUAACACACAUAAAAAACAUAUAACCAGGAAAGCAAUAAUUAUUCUUCACAAACACAAAAUCUAUAGGGUAGAAAAAUAUAGACUGAACUGUACUUCUGUAUGAAAUGAAAUUAAGCAGAUCCCUUAAGCUUCUUUGUGAUGGUAGCAAUGUACUUGCCCUGGUUGAAAAGCCUGCUCCAACUCCAGCUCGGAAGGCUGUCUUGAACCAUCCCCAGCAAAAGUUCCAGCACCAUAAGGACUUCCACCUUUCACUUUCUCCAUUUCAAACAUGCCAGCACCGAAUGUAUAACCAAUG
Molecule: unclassified non-coding RNA, 476 nt
Filed under: Hevea brasiliensis (rubber tree)
Lineage: Eukaryota; Viridiplantae; Streptophyta; Magnoliopsida; Malpighiales; Euphorbiaceae
Source: RNAcentral